GAGGGUAUAGUUCAAGAGGUAGAGUGCAUGCCUAGUGUGCACAAGGUCCUGGGUUCAGUCCCCAGUACCUCUA
This 73-nucleotide transfer RNA is filed under the name Camelus dromedarius (Arabian camel). It matches the Rfam family "tRNA". From Rfam's summary of the family: Transfer RNA (tRNA) molecules are approximately 80 nucleotides in length. Lineage: Eukaryota; Metazoa; Chordata; Mammalia; Artiodactyla; Camelidae. The record is from Rfam by way of RNAcentral. RNAcentral also lists the same sequence under 1 other name.